CUCAUUUCUGACUCCCUGGGAGGGUGACUCUGUCCUCAGUGUCCUGUCCACCUCCACUGAUGUCUGCUCACUGCCAUUCAUUCAAGGCUCAGCCUUCUCAGCCCCCUGGGUAGGACAGUGCCUUUUCCCAUCGCUGCCGGAACUCCCCAGGCAGUUUGCAUGGGUUUCUCACUGGAAGCUGCUGAGCCCCACCUGUGUGGGGUCCUGGGGCUGCCCCCCUCCUCACAGCAGGCUCAGCUCAUGGUGGGUGCCGGGGGGUGGGGAGGCUGAGGGUUGGGAGGGAGGAGGGGCAGGCGGAGGAGGCUUCUUUAGGAUGAGCCCAGCGAGGGUGGCCCAGGGGAGACGGUGCAGAUCCCAGGAGCCCACAUCAGCUGGAGACCUUAGGGAGAGCUCCAGGCCCAGCACACCUGCCCCAGCCUCAGCCCAGGAACCCUGCCCUGUCGGGGGAAGGAAUGUGUGGAAUGUUCCAGCAAAGAGGAGAGUCAAGGUCUUAGAAGUCAAGGAAAGACUGAGGACUGUUCCAGGUUGAGGAUGAGCAUGAAGUCUUAUAAUCCCUGUAAUCCCAGCACUUUGGGAGGCCGAGGUGGACAGAUCACUUGAGGUCAGGAGUUCGACACCAGCCUGGCCAACCAACAUGGUGAAACCACGUCUCUACUACAAAUACAAAAAUUAGCCAGAUGUGGUGGCACAUGUCUGUAGUACCAGUUACUCGAGAGGCUGAGGCAGGAGAAUCACUUGAACCUGGGAGGCGGAGCUUGCAGUGAGCUGAGAUCGCACCACUGCACUCCAGCCUGGGCGACAGAGUGAGAUUCCUUCUCAAAAAAAAAAAAAAAGAAAGAAAGAAAAAAGGCAUUAUUGGGACAGUUGGUAAAACCUGAAUAGGUCUCUAGGUGAAGAAUACGUACUCUUUGUACUAUUCUUGCAACUUUUUGGUGUAUUUGAAAUUGUUUUGAAAUAAAAAGUAAAAUUAAAAGCGAGAAGCACCCUGUGUGGCUGGCACCCUGGCUGCUCGCAUCUGCAGGAAGCAUGGUGGGGCUGGGCGGUCCCAGGCUGCCGUGGCCCCUUUGUGCUGCUGUAAGAAGGUACCUGUGACUGGGUGACUCAUAAGGAGCAGAAAUGUACUGCUCACAGCUCUGGAGUCUGGGAAGUCUGAAACCAGGGCCCCGGCAGGUUUGGUGUUUGGCGAGGACUGCUCUCUGCUUCCAAGGUGGUCCCCUUGUUACUGUGUCCUCUCAUAGCAGAAGGCAGGAGGGCAAAAGGGGCCUGGCCAGUCAGACAGCCCUUUCGUAAGGCUCUAAUCCUACCCUUGACGGUGGAACCCUCACGGCCUAACCCUCCCGAAGGCCUCACCUCUGAACACUGUUGCGCUGGGGAUUAAGUUUCAACAUGGAUUUCGGAGGAACACAGACAUUGAAACCACAGCAGUGCCAUCGCUCCCAGGCUGAGACCCCACCUUGGCUCUCUGCCCCUAGCAUCUCCUCCCUGGCCCCUGGAGAGACACAGGAGAAGGAGAGAAGGGCUAUUCUGUAGGAAUCACAAGGCCGAGUGGACUCUCACCUGAGGGAGGGCACCUGCAGCUUGGCUGGCCCCAGGGAUCUGUGGGCACGGAGCAUGUGGCUGGGUGCCUAUCACCUUCUUCCCCACUUUACCCUGGGCAUCCAGCCCCUGGACCAUGACUGCCAGGCACGGAGCAGGUGUGGAGGAGUGUCAGCAUGAUGAAAUUCACCCACACCACGGCUGCCACAGAUGGACAGCCUCACGGAGAGGUGUGGCCAGGGGAGCAGCGGAGGGGCCUGUGGGGUCAGGUGGUCCAGAGGAGAGCCUUCUGGCAGGGGGGCUUGUGAGAGCGUUCCAAGAAGGUGGGCAAGCUCAGCCAGGAGGGUGGAAGGGUGACACGGUCCAGGCCAGAGGAUGGCAGCCACAGUGGGAGGGAAGGUGAGAGGCCCUGUGGUCUGGCUGGAACUGAACAGAUGACACCAGCAGGGGUAAACAUGGUGGGAAGGUGUGGGCCCAAGCCGGUCCUUGGAGCUCAGAGAGCGUCUGGCUUUGGUCUGGGCUAUGUUUGGUGUGAUGGCUGGGGGAGUUGCUGAGGUGGGAACGCCCUUGAGGGCUCUACCUUGAAGGGUGGGAUUAUGCCUCAGGAAAGGGCUGUCCGAGGGUCCGUGUUUACAGGGAGAUGGUUGAUGUGGGAGGCAGUUCUGGCUGAACUCACAGUGCCCAAGGGCUGACCAAUAACGAGCCGAGCCCAGCCCAGUGUGGCCCAAACCUUGCGGUCAGAUUAGUCUGCUCGGCAGCUGGGACGGAGGACCAUGAACGGGGGCUUGGCGUCCCACAUCGAUUCUCCCACAGUCCUGCAGGGUGGGGCCCACUGUCCAGGUGCUGCGGGGCCAGGGCCUCCGGGACCCCCCUGGCUGGCAGUCAAUGGCUCCUCCCACCCUCCCAGGGCCCCUCUGUGCGCUCUGGGUCCUCAUCUCCUUCUUGGGAGUCAGACUGGACAGGGCCACCCCAGUGACUCCCUUUUACUGUAAUCACCUCCUUAAAGGCCCCACCUCCAAAUCCAGUCCCACUCUGAGGUCCUGGGAGUUGAGGAUCCAGUAUAUGGAUUUUGGGGGCCCCACUCAGCCCUGACACUGCGCUGGACAGAGCAUGCCUCAAAUUCCAAGGGUGAUGAAUUCGCUGUGACCACACUUCUGUCGUUAAACAUCAUUCAUAACCAGGUGCUGACAUUUGCUGCACAGGUGCCGCCCACAGCCCCUCGCUGCCCUGGGUCCAGCUGAUGCUCAGCUCCAUGGUCCGGCCGCUGCUGGUGGCGGUGUUGGCCCAAGGGUGAUGCUCUCCUCCCUCUGCCGGGAACACCCCUGGCAAGGACGCUGCCCACCCAUCCCCGCACAUGGAAAGGAGGUGAGGCAGCUGCGGCAUCUUCACAGAACACGUCCCCCCGACACGCACCAAGACAUGGCUCGAGGCCCGGGCCUCCCACACACCCAUGGGCUUCCAGCACGUCCUUCCCACGUCAGACACCAGACAGAGCCGGUGCAGGUGGCUUCCAGGUGGCAUGUCCCUUCGGAUGGGCUCUGCCGUCCCUGUCAUGUGCACCAGCUGCUGCAUCCACCCUUAGUGCCAGCUCUGGGGGCCUAAGCAGGAGCUCAGGGACAUGGAGACCGUGGAGAGGAGGCAUUCACUGUGGGGUGUCCCAAGGCUGGGCACCAAGGCAGGACCUCCGUGUGCCCCGAAUGCCGGCUUCCCUGGAGACUGCAGCCAGCGGGGAUCUCUCACAUCAGCCUCCCAAGACCACCGUGAGGGGGGCGCUUAGGAGCAGAAACACCCAGGCCGAGCAGGAUGAGCAGGUGAAGCUGCCCAACGCAGGGGACGGGACGCAGAGGCGAUUCACGAGCCUGGGGCUCCAGCAGCAGCCAGGCGGAUCCCGCCACACCUUUCGCUCUCAGCUACCAGUCUGCCUGCCACCAUCACCUUCCCGCGUGUGAGUGGGGCCCUGGUUCCCCAAGCAGCCGCUGACUCCCGGACGCCUGCUGGCCAGGCCCCGGUCAUGAGUGCAUCCGGGGAAGGCUUCGGGCCUACAGGAACGGAAGGAAAAGCCAUCCAGCCUCCCUGACCCUCCACACGGAAGCUGAGGGGUUCCCCAUACACCGGCUGCCGGGGACUGCCUCGACUCUGGUUUUGGCAGAGACAGGCCCUGCUGUGUCCGUCAUCUCUGAUGGAAGUGACAGCCAUUUCCCCUGCAGACAGGCCAGAGCGGCCUAUCCACGCUCCACGGUGUGAGGCCAGUGGUGGCGUCCCCAGGGCCACAGCCCAGCGAGGGUGAGGUGGGGGAGCGUCCUGGCUGAGGGCUGGGCCGCCUCCCGCGUGCUCUGGGGAACAAUGCUUCCGCACCACCCCCGCCCCUUCCUGGCUUCUGUGAAACUGAACAUCUCCAAGUAAAUAUUUUCACUGCUAAGCACAGGCAGCACUUCGAGGCUUCGUGACGAAGACGUGGAAACCGCAACCCGGACCUCGCCGUCAGAGCCGGGCCUGCAUUUCCCAGUCAGCACGUGUGUCCCUUCUCCUCAGCAACCGCCAGCCCUGGGACAAGCCCCACACCACCCUGGUUACCCUCAGCUGCGAGAUGGGAGGUGCCGGGCACAGCCAGGACUGCAUCUGGUCCUGGGCGCAGACUUCACCUUCUGGACCUUCUCCUAUCCGGAAAGUAUGUGGCUCACACGGUGGUGCAAGGAGCCUUGGGCUGGGCAGCUGCUGGCCUGGAUCCGAGUCCUGCCCUGGUGAAAGUGCUGAUUACUUUACAUACUUCUACAUCUGCAGAACCAGGUGAUUGAUCCUCAAAGCCCAGCCAGCUCCAGCAAGCUCUGGUACCUGCAACCACGGGCCGCCCUGUGCCCGGCCCACCUUCCUCGAACCGUGUUCCGCUCACCUGUGGCGCGGCCGCCCCCGGAGCAGCGCGUGCCGUGUGCCGAGGACAGAGGCAGACCCGGACAGAGAUAGAUGUGGAGGGGUAGCCAGUAUCAGGGGCACCCCCGCUUGUGCUCACUGCCCCACCCGCCUGCUUUUGCCGCUAACGUCCAGACAUUCUUCUCUUAACCCCAAAGCCCCUGGGGUUCAGUUCCUGCUGUUGCAGCCCAAGGGCUCCACCAAGAGCUGGGGGCAGUGUCCACCUCCUGGGGGUCUCGAGGGGCUCCAUAAGAGCCCCUUGUCCUGAGCCCCCACCCAGGCUGCGCACUGGCAGCUGUUCAGUCCCGGCUGGCUUUAAUUGUUGUCGUUUAAUAUUCAAUAUUGACAUAAACUCUAUUUUGGUUGUGAAACCACUCAGCAUUCCAUGUCCUUAUUCCUGGAUUUUGAUUCUAAGCCCCUUUAGGAAAUGUCUGCCCCGAAGUGACCGUCUCGUCUGGAAGGUUCCCACAGAGCAGGGUAUGAUGACAGCCCAACGGGCUUCCUCCCAGUGCAGACACCGCCCCAGCGGCUCCGGCAGGAGCACGUUAUCAUCCGCAGAGGACAGACGCCGAAACGUGCAGGGGCCUGUAAGCCUGCGCAGUGUCACACACACUCAGCCCCAGCGAGGGGCACGCACACAUUACCGUGUUUGAGAUGACAGUUUUACAGUGUGUUGAUUGUUGAUGUCCCCUACUUUUCUGGAUUUUCCUCCAGUUUUGUUUUUUGUGGGUUUUUUUUUUGAGAUAGGGUCUUGCUCUGUCAUCCAGGCUGGACACUAUCUCAAACAAGCAAGCAAACAAAAAAAAAUUAAAAGUGCAGCCCUCACCUCCUCGGCUCAAGCCAUCCUCCCACUUCAGCCUCCUGAGUAGCUGGGACUACAGUUGUCUGCCACCACCCCUGGCUAAUUAAAAAAAAUUUUUUUUGUAAAGACGGGGUCUUGCCAUCCUGCCCAGGCUGGUCUCGAACUCCUGGGCUCAAGCAAUCCUCCCGCCUUCGCCUCCCAAAGUGCUUGGCUUACAGGCAUAAGCCACCACGCCCAGCCAUUCCCCAAUUUUGAAUUGGUAUUAGUAGCUUUAAUUCUGUUCUGUUUCUCUUACAAUAAGCACCUUUCUCAACACAUUUCCAUCCAUUGACAAAAUAGGGAGAA
This 5590-nucleotide long non-coding RNA is filed under the name Homo sapiens (human). Its description in RNAcentral is "HSALNT0274629". The record is from RNAcentral. Lineage: Eukaryota; Metazoa; Chordata; Mammalia; Primates; Hominidae.